This is a long non-coding RNA of Gopherus evgoodei (Goodes thornscrub tortoise), 294 nucleotides long. RefSeq lists it as uncharacterized. Lineage: Eukaryota; Metazoa; Chordata; Testudines; Testudinidae. The transcript is spliced from 3 exons. The record is from RefSeq and is a predicted model, not a curated record.
GACACAUUAACACACCCCCCCCCGUGCCCGGCCCCGCCCACGCCCCCGCUGGAGCCUCCCUGGGGCCGCCGCGGGCUUCGCCUGACCCGCUGCGGAGCUGCAGCCUCCAGGUGUGUGACUGAGAUCAGGGUUCUUAUCGUACUGAGCAUGGCCCUGUUCUUCCAGGUGCUGCAGAGCCCCCAACUGAGAUCUGGGUCCUGUUCUGCCAGGCACUGAAGAGACCCCACGUGAGAUCAGAUCCCACUGUUGUGCCAGCUGCACAUUUUUCAAGCCUCCCUACUCCAUCCCAAAGGC